AGUGCUCACUCUGGCAGUAUGUACCGAUAAGUGACCCAGACAGAGAAGAUGAGCAUGUCCCCUGCUCGAGGGUGACAACGAACUCAUGGGGCGCUCCAUAGUUUU
Molecule: small nuclear RNA, 105 nt
Organism: Eptesicus fuscus (big brown bat)
Lineage: Eukaryota; Metazoa; Chordata; Mammalia; Chiroptera; Vespertilionidae
Source: RefSeq, a predicted model, not a curated record